This 74-nucleotide transfer RNA is filed under the name Xanthocytophaga agilis. RNAcentral's name for it is "tRNA-Met". It matches the Rfam family "tRNA". From Rfam's summary of the family: Transfer RNA (tRNA) molecules are approximately 80 nucleotides in length. Their secondary structure includes four short double-helical elements and three loops (D, anti-codon, and T loops). Further hydrogen bonds mediate the characteristic L-shaped molecular structure. tRNAs have two regions of fundamental functional importance: the anti-codon, which is responsible for specific mRNA codon recognition, and the 3' end, to which the tRNAs corresponding amino acid is attached (by aminoacyl-tRNA synthetases). tRNAs cope with the degeneracy of the genetic code in two manners: having more than one tRNA (with a specific anti-codon) for a particular amino acid; and 'wobble' base-pairing, i.e. permitting non-standard base-pairing at the 3rd anti-codon position. RNAcentral also lists the same sequence under 1 other name. Lineage: Bacteria; Pseudomonadati; Bacteroidota; Cytophagia; Cytophagales; Rhodocytophagaceae. The record is from RNAcentral.
GAGGCAGUAACUCAAUUGGAAGAUGCCCUGGCUCAUAACCUGGGCGGCUACAGGUUCGAGCCCUGUCUGCCUCU